Molecule: ribosomal RNA, 123 nt
Filed under: Propithecus coquereli (Coquerel's sifaka)
Lineage: Eukaryota; Metazoa; Chordata; Mammalia; Primates; Indriidae
Source: RNAcentral
GAACGCGUCCAAUCCCAUCUGACCUCGUCCGGUCCCAUCUGACCUCAGAAGCUAAGCAGAGUCGGCCCGGUUAGGUACUUGGAUGGAAGCUCUUAUAAAUUUUUAAAAGGGAUUAUCCAUUCA